GACGAACGCUGGCGGCGUGCUUAACACAUGCAAGUCGAACGGAAAGGCCCUGCUUUUGUGGGGUGCUCGAGUGGCGAACGGGUGAGUAACACGUGAGUAACCUGCCCUUGACUUUGGGAUAACUUCAGGAAACUGGGGCUAAUACCGGAUAGGAGCUCCUGCUGCAUGGUGGGGGUUGGAAAGUUUCGGCGGUUGGGGAUGGACUCGCGGCUUAUCAGCUUGUUGGUGGGGUAGUGGCUUACCAAGGCUUUGACGGGUAGCCGGCCUGAGAGGGUGACCGGCCACAUUGGGACUGAGAUACGGCCCAGACUCCUACGGGAGGCAGCAGUGGGGAAUAUUGCACAAUGGGCGGAAGCCUGAUGCAGCAACGCCGCGUGCGGGAUGACGGCCUUCGGGUUGUAAACCGCUUGCGCCUGUGACGAAGCGUGAGUGACGGUAAUGAGUAAAGAAGCACCGGCUAACUACGUG
This 468-nucleotide ribosomal RNA is filed under the name uncultured bacterium. RNAcentral's name for it is "partial 16S ribosomal RNA". It matches the Rfam family "Bacterial small subunit ribosomal RNA", at positions 28 to 507 of the family's 1533-position model. The record is from RNAcentral.